RNAcentral lists this ribosomal RNA (1505 nucleotides) under uncultured Spirochaeta sp. Its description in RNAcentral is "bacterial SSU rRNA". It matches the Rfam family "Bacterial small subunit ribosomal RNA". The record is from RNAcentral. Lineage: Bacteria; Pseudomonadati; Spirochaetota; Spirochaetia; Spirochaetales; Spirochaetaceae.
AGAGUUUGAUCCUGGCUCAGAACGAACGCUGGCGGCGCGUUUUAAGCAUGCAAGUCGAACGGUAGCAGAGUGCUUGCACUCUGUGAGAGUGGCGGACGGGUGAGUAACACGUAGGUGAUCUGCCCUUGAGUUGGGGAUAGCCCAUGGAAACAUGGGGUAAUACCGAAUACGGUCUGGACCCUUUGGGGACCGGAAGAAAGGCGCUUCGGCGCCGCUCGAGGAUGAGCCUGCGGCUGAUUAGCUAGUUGGUAGGGUAAAGGCCUACCAAGGCGACGAUCAGUAGCCGGCCUGAGAGGGUGAACGGCCACACUGGGACUGAGAUACGGCCCAGACUCCUACGGGAGGCAGCAGCUAAGAAUCUUCUGCAAUGGACGAAAGUCUGACAGAGCGACGCCGCGUGAGUGAUGAAGGCCGGAAGGUUGUAAAGCCCUUUUCUAUCUGAGGAAUAACCCUGGGAGGCAAUACCCGGGGGAUGACGGUAGGGUAGGAAUAAGCCCCGGCCAAUUACGUGCCAGCAGCCGCGGUAACACGUAUGGGGCGAGCGUUGUUCGGAAUCAUUGGGCGUAAAGGGCGCGUAGGCGGAAGUGCAAGCUUGGUGUGAAAUCCCCGCAGCUCAACUGCGGAGCCGCGCUGAGAACCUGCAUAUCUAGAGUUCAAAGAGGGGGAAGCUGGAAUUCCAGGUGUAGGGGUGAAAUCUGUAGAGAUCUGGAAGAACAUCAGUGGCGAAGGCGAGCUUCUGGCUAUGAACUGACGCUGAGGCGCGAAAGCGUGGGGAGCGAACAGGAUUAGAUACCCUGGUAGUCCACGCUGUAAACGAUGUGCACUAGGUGUUGGGCCGCUGAAGGUUCAGUGCCGUAGCUAACGCGUUAAGUGCACCGCCUGGGGAGUAUGCUCGCAAGGGUGAAACUCAAAGGAAUUGACGGGGGCCCGCACAAGCGGUGGAGCAUGUGGUUUAAUUCGAUGAUACGCGAGAAACCUUACCAGGGCUUGACAUAUGCCGGGAUGCGCAUGAGAGUGCGCAGCCCUUCGGGGCCGGUAUACAGGUGCUGCAUGGCCGUCGUCAGCUCGUGCCGUGAGGUGUUGGGUUAAGUCCCGCAACGAGCGCAACCCCUAUUGUCUGUUGCCAGCAUUUCGGAUGGGGACUCAGACAAGACUGCCGGUGACAAACCGGAGGAAGGUGGGGACGACGUCAGGUCAUCAUGGCCCUUAUGUCCUGGGCUACACACGUGCUACAAUGGUCGGUACAGAGCGAAGCAAAACCGCGAGGUGGAGCAAAACGCAGAAAGCCGGCCUCAGUUCGGAUUGGAGUCUGAAACCCGACUCCAUGAAGGUGGAAUCGCUAGUAAUCGCGCAUCAGCAUGGCGCGGUGAAUACGUUCCCGGGCCUUGUACACACCGCCCGUCACACCACCCGAGUUGGGGGUACCCGAAGUCGCUUGCCUAACCUGCAAAGGAGGGCGGUGCCGAAGGUAUGCCUGGUAAGGGGGGUGAAGUCGUAACAAGGUA